Molecule: long non-coding RNA, 4710 nt
Filed under: Glycine max (soybean)
Lineage: Eukaryota; Viridiplantae; Streptophyta; Magnoliopsida; Fabales; Fabaceae
Description: long non-coding RNA (GMAX_LNC001452)
Source: RNAcentral
UAAUACAUAUGAAGAGGAAGAAAAACUAAAAAGUGUUAAGAGUAGAAGAUAUAUCAGCUGAGGAGCAACACAAUCAUGAAUCCAUGUAAAACUAUGCGGGCUAGGAGCUUAGAGUAGUAGCAAUUGAGAAUGAAAAAGCCAUGGCAGAACAAUAUUACAGGGUAUGAGCCAGGCACCGCUGGUGUAAAAAUAAGCAAUGGUUUUGGAGGUGAUGAGGAAGCAGUGGAGGUUUCAACAUUGAAUUGCUUCCAAUGAAUAUCUCCCUUUUGAAAAACAUCUGUGGUGGCCAAUACUGGUUGAGCCCUCUGCGCCAUUAUCACUUUCCUUACACCAAAGACUUUGCUUCUAAGAAUACCCAAAUUGAGUUCUAUGGAUGUACCUCAUAUAGAUAUCUUUUCAUGAGAAACAAGUACUGUUGCGUCAGAAUGUCACUGUCUCAUUUUUUUCUUAAAUAGUAAUUGUAUUUAUACAAUUAGAUGUACGUCUUUUUUAAUAAAGAAAAACAUAAGUUAAGAUUUUUUUAUUUAUAAUAAAUUAAGAUUAUUAGUGUAAUGAAAAAAGAUGAUAAAAAACAAUAAAUUAUUUUUUCUGAUGGAAAAACUAAUAUAUACUAACAGUCUAAAAAAAUUAUAUUAUCAAUGAAUCAUAAAUUAUUAUUAUAUAUAUAUAAUAUGAUAAUUUUAUUAAAUUUUACACUAAUUAACAUAAAAGUUUUCUUUAACAUGAUUUAUGAUCGAUUAGUAUACUCUAUAAUCUAUAUAAAACUAUUUUUGGUUCGUUACAUCUAUGUACAGGAACUUUGCAUUACACACGCAAUUAAUUUGUUUUAGAUUUAGGAUGUCUACUCAUGGAAUAAAUGAUAAAUAUCUAACUUUUAUGUAUUCGUAAUCUCCAUAUAUAUGUCUCUUUUUUAUUUUAGUUUCUAUGUCUCUCUUUUUUUAAGUUUUUAUUUUGUUUUGUUUUUAUUCAUGUAAUAUAAUGUUUUACUUAUUGAUUUUGAUCCUUUCAUUUACAAACUAUUUAUGUGAAUUUACUAGAUAUUAAUACGCUUCAAAUUACUAAUUAAUUAAUGUACCCCUUAUUAGAGAGUAAAAAGAUUUGUCCUCGGGACAAAUUAUUCAAAUGACCAUAUGUACAAUCUUAAUCAAUUUAUUGGUGUAGUGGUUAUAUAUACAGCUGCUAUUGGUUAUGGUAUGCAAAAUUAAAGAGCAUAAAGUAAAAAGUACUGUUACCUCAAAAAAAGAAAAGUAAAAUAUACCGGUAACUUGUGUUCCACUUCCAACAUUUAUAAACAUUUAUAAACUUCCUAGAAUAUUAAAUAUACAUGACAGAACAACUCAGCAACACAAGAGGCGUAUCUUGUUAUAGUAACUUCUCCUACAACGUAACGUAAAGAAUAUAAUCUUUAAUUGAUUUUUCAAAAUUUAUUUGAGCGGUUUUAAUUUACUUUCAAUUCGGUAGAUAAAAUUCUCUCCUGGUCUCCCCACCUGAUUCCAUGAACACAAGCUAAUGAGAACGAUUUUUUUAUGAGUCAUGGGGGAGCACAUGGCAGCAGUGCACACUGCUACCAACGUUGUACAAGCAUUAAUUAGGUAGAGGCUUUGAUGUGAACUUCAAUACAAGGUUGAUGCAUUGUAAACGAGUAGCAGCAGGGUCUAGUGGUGGUCCUUGUUGAUGAAGAACACGUAUGAGGGACUUGUUGUAAAAAUGGUGUUAUUUAAAAGGGUGAAAAAAUAGAAAUAUAUAUUGAAAAAUACAUUUAACAAUAAGAAACAACAUUUAGUAAUUGUCUAGAAAUAUUUAAGCCAUAUUUACCAACUCAAAUGAAGAAGAAAAAAAAAGGAAAAUUUUUAAGUUGCAGGAGGAGGGCAUGGAUCAACCUGUAUUAGUGAGGAGGUGCCUCUGAUAUUUCUGUUUUACCCAAAUUUAGUACAUUUAUUCAAUAAAAUUAUUUUUCUGUUACAAGAAAAAAAGAAAAAGAAAAGAUCGGGUAAAUUAAAUAAUUCAUUAAUUGAACGUAUAAAAAAUUAUACGUUUAUUUUAAAUGAUUUAUAAUAUAUUUUAUUAAUGAAAUUAAUCACUUUAAUUAUUUUUUUUGUUAUACAAAUAUUAAUUAAUCUCAUAAAUGACAUUGAGUUGAAAUACUAGUUCAUGAAAACUAGUUUUUAAGAUCCACCUUUAUCUUCUAUACCUGAUAAUAAGAUGAGUUAAAAGGAGUUUGACUUGUCUCUAACAUCAUCAAGAGUGAAGUAGUGAAAAAGAUAAGUUAAAAAAUUUAAAUCCAAUUAUAUUCUAUUAAGUUUUGUAAGGUUUAUGAAAUUUAUGAGAUUCCCCCUCACUUUGUGUUAAAGAAAAUUUUAAUUUACUUAAUUAUAUAUUUUUAAAUAAAUUAUUUAUUAAAUUAUUAAUUUUUAUUGCAAAUAAAAAAAUAAAAAAUAUUUUAAAAAAUAAAAUUAAGAACUAAAUUAAAUUUUUAGUUAUGUUACCCUAGCAUUCAUGACUCCAAAAGACAUCAUCUUGUGUAUCAAUACAUCCCUUUGUCCAUCAUGAAGGCAAAUCGACCUUCUUGUUAGCAUAUAUACAUCGAUAUCUAAUUAUUGAUUUAAGUCUGAUAACAUCACUGCGAUGAGUUAUUCUCCUAACUAGUCUUGGUUCAACAAUUUUAACUCCCUAAUUAGGUCUAACUCAUUAAUCAAUUGGGUUCACCUGAUCCGAGGGAAGCCAAAGGAAACAUGAGCAGGACAAUUAAUUCCCAGUGACUUGAACGUGUAAUCCUUUGUUAAUUUCAACUAUAAUAAUAAUAAAAAAUAAAAAAAAGCAUUGUCCCAUGUAAAAACCCAAUUGAAAAGUGCAAUGUGAAUCACAUCAUUAUAUAGACAAAUUUGAAAGACAUUAUAGGCCUUUCAUAGAAAUAGAAUAAAAACUGCAUAAAUGAAUGUUUGUGUGAUGACUUCAUGUUGGUAAGUAUCGCACAUCAUCAAGUUUGGCGGGAGCUAGAUUAGGACUCGCUAAAAUAGCAUCAAAAUCCUUCCACUGCUCAUUCAACUGUGCUCUCAAGAAGGCCACAACCAACCCUCCCACAGUCCUUCUCAUCAAGUCCCUAGGACCCUUCUUCCCAUUCUUGCACAUACACUUUGACAUCAUUGUCCCAAUUACCCCUGGUGUUUCAUCAUCCAACAUGUCCAUGUGACCAUAAUCCGUUGCAACAAAAUAUGCACUAGGUGGUUUGCACUCAGAGAAAAACUCUUUAUGGUUCACCCCAUUUGGAGCACAUGGUGGAAAAAGAGAAUUAGCCUUCUCUGGGCCCAACCCAGUUCCAAUUACAGCAACAGGUAUGUUCAGAUUAAAGGACCGUGGCACACCUGUGAGGAUAUCAGGAAGUGAUCGACAAGGCUUACACUUUGAUACGCCAGCCACAGGAUCUAUGCCUAUGAGUGCUGAAAACUUGAGCUUUGUUUUACAGUAACCAAGUGCCACAGCAAAUGCUGUUUUUCCACCCUUGCUGUGACCUACUAGAACCAGUUUCUCCAGUUUGGCUUCAACGCUCUCGGGAAGCAAUGGUUGAAGCCCGUUAUCUAGCCAAUCCACAACUCUUCCUUCACACUUAACUUCUUCUGGUCCAAACAUAGGCACCCCAAUGGAAAACUAAACAUCGGAGAGGCAAAAGUUAGCAAUGUCAGAGAAUCCAAAAAGAAUUAAAAAUGAGUUAAAUAUAUUUUCCAUGUAUCGUUCUGUUUUAAUAAUUAUUAAUUAAUUGUUAUACGAAUUCUAUCAAUAUCUUAACUUUAUUUUAUUGUAUAUAGAAAAAUUAAAAAAUAGGUUUUUUUUUCUUGAUUUGUUCCACAGCGAUCAAAUUCUUCCAAUUUUUUAUUUAUAAAAAAGAUAUUAUCAAUUACGUAAAAAAUUGAAAACAAAUUGAGAAAAGUUGACUAUCGGAUUCAGAUGAUUUAACUAAUUUGUAUAAGCAGGUCAUAGUUACUAAUCUAUUAACUAAUUUGUAUAAUAUAUACACUAUUGAUAAAAAAAAAAAACAUGCAUUAACCAACAUAAAUAUAAUAUAAAAAUAUUGGUAUGCGUGCAAAUAGCAUUUCUUAUUCUAAAAUAACCCAGGAAGUUAAAAAAAUACAGAAAGACAAGAAUUAAUAGAGAACUGUUUCUCAUAUAGCAUGUUUUUUUCUUAUCAUUCCUCACUCGUUGUUUGAAAUUAAAUAAAAUAAUAAAGAUAGUACCCUGAAAAUUUUAAUUUUAUGGUUUUAAAUUAUUAAACAAAGUUGUAUAUAAAACUAAUGGUGCGCAAAUUGAAGAAGAAGAAAAAUUCGAAAGUGUUAAGAGUACUAGAUAUACCAGCUGAGGAGCAACAAGUAUGAAUCCAUGUGAAACUAUGUGGGCUAGGAGCUUAGAGUAGUAGCUAGUGCGAAUACAAAAGCCAUGGCAAAACAAUAUUACAGGGUAUAAGCCAGGCACGGUUGGUGUAAAAAUAAGCAAUGGUUUUGGAGGUGAGGAAGAAGCAGUGGAUGUUUCAACAUUGAAUUGCUUCCAAUGAAUAUCUCCCUUCUGAAAAACAUCCGUGGUGGCCAACGCUGGUUGAGCUCUCUGCGCCAUUAUCUCUCUUCUCACACCAAACACUUUGCUUCUAUGUUCUAAGUGUAAAAUUUAUUCUAUGCUUCUAUCUCAGACAGAUAUUUCUUCACGGGAAAAACUGUUGUGUCA